Solanum lycopersicum (tomato) is the source of this 2389-nucleotide long non-coding RNA. RefSeq lists it as uncharacterized. NCBI's taxonomy places the organism in Eukaryota, Viridiplantae, Streptophyta, Magnoliopsida, Solanales, Solanaceae. The record is from RefSeq and is a predicted model, not a curated record.
UAGAAAGUAAUGUUGGAUGUCAAAUAUAUGAUAAUUCUACUUAUCAAACCGAGAGUAGAACUGAAGAGGAUGUGAAAUGUCCAUUAGUUGUCGAAGUAAGCAAAUAUGAAUUAGCCGGGACUAAGAUCUGGUACUUGUUGGUAGUCUUUUUAGUUUGGUUACAGAUUUACAUAUGUGAGGUCUAAAGAAGUACCAAGUUUAGAAACCCCCCAAUUUAUCUUAAAGGACACAUUAUUAAGCAUUGGAAUGAAUCCGGCAAAUAGAGUGGAACACAUAAAAGAUUCAUAUGCCUAGAUCCCUCCGCUGAGAUGUCCACCGGAUUCCUGGGCCUUGACAAAUGGCUGGCCACCUCUUACAUUUGAAGAGCAGAAGGCCCAGGGCCACUAUUAGUUCAGGAUUAAAGCAUUGUUGUCAUUGUUGUUUAUAGAUCUUACAUAAAACAGCUUUCAGGAGCAUAACUGUAGCCCUUUAACAAACACAUGAUAUCUUUCCAAAGAUUUUUGAUUCUGCUUAAUCUCAUGUGCUAGGUUUACCAACCUUCCUAUAGUGAUUGCUUAAAAUAUAUCCAGAUAACAGCUAAGGUCCUGGAACUGUUGAGUUAUAUAGUGGUUUCAUAUGAGUUGUGUAGAACUUCCAUAGGGGUUUAUAAAGACCUUGGCUAUUAUAUCAAUCCUCUUAGGCUUAGAGUUGUAUGCUCUGAUAUUUUCACAAGAUAUCAAAGCACACAGAUUCUAGGUUCAACUAUAUUUACUCUUUUUAGACGCUCAUGACUUGUACCACCAUUUCUUGGGGGGUGUUUAUCUUAUUUCUGCACGUUUGACUUUAUAACUCUGCUCUAGUUAGAGCUAUUGCAUAGGAGCGGGUUUUUACUCUAUGCACACCCAAAGGGUAGCGGAUCCUGUAUCCCUUGUCAUCAUCAUCAAAAAAAAACAAAACUCUGCUUCGGUUAAAUAUCUGCUUCCAAAGCUUAUUACUGUUUUUUCAUAACUGCAAAUGGACUUUGCAUGAUAAUGGGUUUGCCUAACAAGGGUUGGGUAUCAUCAUGGCUUAGGCAAAAUGGAUCGUGACAAAAGCAUGAUGCAGAAAAUCCAUUUAAAUGUCUUUCAGCAUAUCACCAAAAAGCUCAACUCCCAGUUCCCAAUGACAGAUAGCUGCGGAAAGGCAUAAAUUAGAAAACACAAUAUAUGCUCCCGAUUCACCUUCCCCAUUCACUCAGUUUUGGGGUCAUUAACAUUAUGUAGGAGAGAUGGCUAUACGAAAGAACAUUCCCCUCUGAAUGUAAAUAAAUCCACUGUAUCGGAUAAAGAUACAGCUAGUCUGGUUCAAACGGUAGCCGGUAAGACUUCUCAAACCCGUUAAUGGCUGUCACUUUGCCAAAAAAGUGAAAAUGAUGAAGGUUCAUCCUCCAUAAGAUGGUUACCUCUCUCAUUUACCCAGACUCUUAGACAAAAAAUCAAAAAAUCUCAAAAAAACAAAGACCUAGAAUCUCUUAUGACUCAAACUGUAGAAAAAUUACUUAAACAACAACAAGAAAAAGAUAAACAUAUAAACCCAAGCCCAAUACAAAGUCCAAGACAAGAUUCGGUUUCAAGUCCAAAUAAUUCAGAUGAUUUUUCAGAUUCAAUACAAUUUGCUCAAGACCCAAACGAUGAUGACUCUGGUAUGAGUUUUGAUUCAAUUACAUUACAUAACUUAGACACUUAAAAAAAAAAAUAUAUUAUAUAUAUAUAUUAUAGUAGUUUUGCUUUAAAGAGGAAUGCCUCUUUUGUCAAAUAAUGUGAGUCCCACUUUACUCACUACCACACGUGUGGAAAAACUGUUGAGACGCGUCUUUACUUUAUUUUAAAAUAGAUAGGCACUCUAUAAGGGAUAAGUAUUAACAGACAAUACAUCAGACAAAUGACUAAUAAUAAUGCAAAAAAGAGGGAAUCAUUUCACGUGCGAUGGGGCCCAAUGCGCACCCGGCGGAAAAGAUAAGAUUCUUUUUCAUUUUGAUGUCUGGAGUUUGAAGUCCAGAAGUGUGUAUAUAAGAAGACAUUAUCAGAAGAAGAAAGUAGAGCGAAAAAAUCCACAACCAGCAAAUUCCAAAGACUUCAAAAUCUCUUUCCUCUUCAGAAUUACCUUUUAAAAAAUAAAAAAUAAUAAAAAUAUAUAUAUAUAUAAAUAUUUUCAGUUCUUUGUUUAAAAGUUUGUGUUAAGUCAGUUUGGAAGUUUUUCGGGUUUCCCGAAAGGGAAACUUCACUCUGUUCUAAAGAAUGUAAAUUUGUAACCAGAGACCAACAUGACGUGUGCACAACAAUUUGCUAUAUUGAGGAAUCAUUAGUGUUCAAAACCAAUUUAAAUGGGCAAUUAUAAGUGCAAUGAAAUUUAAUAAAAUAAAUGAAGCAAA